AUGAUCGAAAAUGCGCAUGAUGCCGGGUUUGCCGUGUGCCGACAUCGCCACGGCAUGAAAGCGAUGCUGAUGUACCC
This 77-nucleotide transfer RNA is filed under the name Escherichia coli. RNAcentral's name for it is "tRNA-Pro". Lineage: Bacteria; Pseudomonadati; Pseudomonadota; Gammaproteobacteria; Enterobacterales; Enterobacteriaceae. The record is from RNAcentral.